CCUACGGGAGGCAGCAGUGGGGAAUAUUGCACAAUGGGGGAAACCCUGAUGCAGCGACGCCGCGUGAGUGAAGAAGUAUUUCGGUAUGUAAAGCUCUAUCAGCAGGGAAGAAGAAAUACGGUACCUUACUAAGAACCCCCGGCUAACUACGUGCCAGCAGCCGCGGUAAUACGUAGGGGGCAAGCGUUAUUCGGAUUUACUGGGUGUAAAGGGAACGUAGACGGGUGUGCAAGUCUGAAGUGAAAGCCCAGGUCUCAACCCGGGGACUGCUUUGGAGACUGGGGAGCUAGAGUGCUGGAGAGGGAAGUAGAAUUCCAAGUGUAGCGGUGAAAUGCGUAGAGAUUAGGAGGAACACCAGUGGCGAAGGCGGCUUACUGGACAGUAACUGACGUUGAGGCUCGAAAGCGUGGGGAGCAAACAGGAUUAGAUACCCCAGUAGUC
RNAcentral lists this ribosomal RNA (441 nucleotides) under uncultured bacterium. Its description in RNAcentral is "partial 16S ribosomal RNA". It matches the Rfam family "Bacterial small subunit ribosomal RNA", at positions 338 to 795 of the family's 1533-position model. The record is from RNAcentral.